CUGUAUAGUGUGUCUGCUAAUGGAAAAUCAGAGUGAGUGCUGCUCACCAGCGUGUUCCAUGCAGGUUGGAGCUCUGAUCACACAGCAAACACAGGAGGCAUGAUAAACACUCUUUGGACAGUGGAUGCUAUUAUCAUGAGAAAAUCCGUUGUGUAAGUCAUAUAAUCUAUUGUGGGAUACUAGGUAAAAUGAACAAAUAUUAUUGAAUAAAUUAAUAUAUUAAGGUUAUCGAGGAGCACAUUGUUUCAUUGUGUCCCUGCUCACUGGUGAUAUACAUUGCCCUUUUGGUCUGAAAAAGAAAUCCAUUAUCAUGAGCAAUACAAUUGCACUUCUUGGGCAAAGGCAAAUUAAAUGAAAGAUUAUUGUCAAAGGUCUAACAAAUUAGCACAAAUAGUCUGUAUUGUGUGUGGACACUGGUCCCAUUAAUCUUGGUGUCCAAUCAAUUUUCAUAAUAAAGUAAUCUAAAAGCCUACAUUAUAUAUUGACAUGAGGAAAGGCUAAUCAAGCCUGACCACAGCAUAAUUCCAUGCCAACACAGUUGUGCUCUUCAUCUCAUUCACUCACCCUUUUUUCUUUCUCACCCUUUAACCCUUUUGGGUUUUCCAUCAGCCAGCACUUUGCUUGUCACUGUUUGCUUGUGAGUUCAGUGACAUGUGACUGGCCACGUGUCAGAUCCUGUAUUUCAAGUGGACUGCCCUGGAGGUGGAAUAUGCUUUUCUUUCUUCUUCUUCUACCCCUGAUAUGAACCAGCCAGGGUCGGCAUCCCCCCACCUGUCAAAUCAGUUAUUGUGCCCCCCACCACCACCCCACCCACCCGAAGGACAAGCCUUUGGCACCAAACUUAAUUCAUAUUUAAAUUCAUUUAGAUUUAUAUUUUAAAUUAAUUUAGAUUUAUCAUAUUGAAAUUGAAAACCGUAAGUGAAAAUUUAAUUCUUUAAGAUUGGAUUAUAUAGCAUGAAAUUGUAAAAUUGGUGUUGAUUGUUGAAGGCAAAUUGAUAUUUUCAAGCAUUUGCAUACGGUAAUACAUUGAGUUCUCAAAUGGAAGUCCCCCCCGCAAUUAGAUUUAUUCUGAUGCCGAGUCUGUUACCAGCCCAAGCCCAUAUUCCUCUGAUAUUUCAGGGUCCUCAGGUCCUCCUGGACCUUCACAACAAGAGAUGAGACAUGGUUUGCAGCAGCUAAGUGGAAUGAUUUCAUGUCUGAAAAAAUGCAACACAAAACAAAUCCCACGUGUCACAUCACACAUUUUCACUGGCCAGUAAAUAAAGUCAUUCUUUCAGUCUUUUUUAUAUAACAUCGUCAUUUCAUUUCACUUGGAUUUCCCAGAGUGCACAACCAACAUUUUCUUCCUCUAAUCAGGCAACACCUUCACCAAUGUCGCUGUGAUGGCUGGUUCCAAGUUGCUGCUACUUCAGCUUUGACUCUUUAAUUAUUCAUGUUUUUCAGGGGGAGAGGGAGGGCUUGAAUCUCUCGAAUCAUCAAAAUACAAUUAUAAAUCAGCAAGUUCUCAACCCCCGCCCUGUCUUACAUAAGGAGGGAGAGGGCUUGUGGUCAGACAGAGUCAGUGAAAUGGGGAUGAAGGUGAAAUGCGUUUUAAUGGCAUGUUUCUGUUGCAAACGCGACUGCUGAGCUGGAGACUUUCAGUUGGGCUGCUCUAAAAGACAUUCAGAGCUGUCGGCCAGCGUUAGUGUCGGUGGCUGAACCGCGUCAGAGAGAGCAAUGAUUUUCUGAGGUGUUUAUUUUUUUAAAUCUGAGAUCAUCAUCUGAUUAAUAAUGCAAUACUGAUAAAAUAGUUUACACAGUUAAGAGCAUUGACCAUGACUUAGAGAUAAAAAUCUUAUUUUCUUACAGUUACAGUUAUCACAGUUAGCAUGGUCUAGAAAAGAGUGCAUGGUUGCAGCUGUGAAAAGGUCUGAUUAAAAGUUUCAACUGAAAAGAUUUUAUUGAUACCUAAUUUAUAUAUAUUUUUAUAUAUAUAACCAAUACAUUUUUAUUUUGUAUCUAUUUUUUUAUUAUAGAAUAUAAAGAAAUCUAUAGGCUUUUGGCCACUAAAUCAGACAACAGUCAAUAUCACAGAAUGAGUCAAAAGGAUAGGUAGGAAUGACAGUAUUUGAUAUUGUGAGCAGGUUGGUUUUCUCUUGAAGGCUUACAUACUGUACUGCAUGUAUGUAGAUUUGAACAAUAAGGCAUUAUCUUAGCUUGUCUCUGUUGCAACGUCAUUCUGAAUUAUGAUUACUGCAAGUGAGUCUGUAUGAAAAGCUGAAAAAUCCAUUUAGUGCAUUCAUUUAUAUUUGUGUUUAUAACAAAAUCACUGUAAGAGUGACAAUCAUAGCAAAAAUAAUAGUAUAAAAAUGCACAGGUAGUGUAAAAACACAAUAUUAAAUGAACAUGAUCAUGAUUCAAGAAAGGUAAAUAAGCCAUGUUCAUAUUAUUGUAAUGUGCAUGGCAGGACAUCACAUUUGAUUGUCCCUUUAAUUUCAGAUGCAAGGGUGAAGUCCAUCAUUGUUGUGCCUCAAAUAUCAAGAGAGAACUGUCGACAAAAAAACGGUGUAACCAACCCAUACAGUUCAGUUUUGAUGGUCCCUGAAGUUGAAAUAGUAUUUAAAGCCCUACAGAUGUGAGAAUAAUUAUCCAGCUUCCAUACUUUCAAAGGAAGGACACCUGUUAUGAGGGGUCUUGUUUAGAGGAAUGUGGGAAAGUGUGGGGAAGGGGUGUAAUGGUGGUCGACCAGUUUCAGUUUUUUUCCCCUUGGGGGAUUGAACGUUCCCUCUGAAAAAGCAGGGUGACGCCCUUACGGAAGCGUUGGUCCCUGACACUGUAGAUGACAACGUUGCAGCAGCUGUUGCCAGCCAGAAUCCAGAACGCAAAGAAGGAGAAGUUGCACCACGCGUAGCCCACCACGUUGCCCAGCACGAACACGGCGAUGGGCGAGAAGGAGGCAGUGAACGCGAACGUCAGGAUGCCGAUGGUCUUGGCCGCCUUGAUGUCGGAGAAGGAUGGCCGGUGUUGGCACCAGCCCCCUCCCCCUCCUCCCCCACUGUCCCCGCCCAGGCUGCCCUCAGCCAGCAGCUUGCGCUUGCGCGAGUAGCGUCGGAUGCUGGUGAAUGAGACGAUGUUGACGACCAGUGUGCCCCCCAACAGUGUAAAGUCGAAGGCGGGGAAGAGGAGCAUGACAUGGGCGUCGGACGGCUGCGGCAGCGACACAUCCCACAGCGGUGCGUAGUUGCACAUGCGGCUGCACGGGUUGUACUCCAGCGUGAAGCUGCGGCUCAGCACCAGAGGCGCCACGGCCAGCAGAAAGCUGCCCGCCCAGGAGAGCAGGAUGAGCAUCAGCGAGCGCCGCCGUGUCACCACCGCGUCCUUGUGCAGCGGCCACAGGAUGGCCACGCUGCGCUCCACCGUCAUCAGGAAGAUGGUGCUGAUGGAAACAAAGGUGCAGCCAGCGAACACGGGCCCGAUCAGCAUGCACGGCUGCCAGGACACAGACAGGUUCCCGCCACCGCUGCCGGUGCUGCCGCCGUGGUUAUGAUCCGCCGCGUCCAUGGGUGCCGCUGAGGACUGGUACCACACUGGAGGAGUGCUGGUCACCAUGAGUGAGAUCUCAGUGUAGACAGAAAAGGGGACGACCAAGACGCCGACUAACAUGUCAGCGAUGGCC
Molecule: long non-coding RNA, 3655 nt
Organism: Clupea harengus (Atlantic herring)
Lineage: Eukaryota; Metazoa; Chordata; Actinopteri; Clupeiformes; Clupeidae
Source: Ensembl